AUACGGAGGGGGCUAGCGUUGUUCGGAAUUACUGGGCGUAAAGCGCGCGUAGGCGGAUCGUUAAGUCAGGGGUGAAAGCCCGGAGCUCAACUCCGGAACUGCCCUUGAUACUGGCGAUCUCGAGACCGGGAGAGGUGAGCGGAGUUCCUAGUGUAGAGGUGAAAUUCGUAGAUAUUAGGAGGAACACCAGUGGCGAAGGCGGCUAACUGGCCCGGUACUGACGCUGAGGUGCGAAAGCGUGGGGAGCAAACAGGAUUAGAAACCCCAGUAGUCC
Molecule: ribosomal RNA, 274 nt
Filed under: uncultured bacterium
Lineage: Bacteria
Description: partial 16S ribosomal RNA
Rfam family: Bacterial small subunit ribosomal RNA
Source: RNAcentral